This 253-nucleotide ribosomal RNA is filed under the name uncultured bacterium. RNAcentral's name for it is "partial 16S ribosomal RNA". It matches the Rfam family "Bacterial small subunit ribosomal RNA", at positions 526 to 779 of the family's 1533-position model. The record is from RNAcentral.
CGUAGGGGCGAGCGUUGUCCGGAAUCAUUGGGCGUAAAGAGCGUGUAGGCGGCCCGGUAAGUCCGCUGUGAAAACCCGGGGCUCAACCCCGGGCGUGCAGUGGAAACUGCCGGGCUAGAGGGCGGCAGAGGCGAGUGGAAUUCCCGGUGUAGCGGUGAAAUGCGCAGAUAUCGGGAGGAACACCGGUAGCGAAGGCGGCUCGCUGGGCCGUUCCUGACGCUGAGACGCGAAAGCUAGGGGAGCGAACAGGAUU